Molecule: long non-coding RNA, 301 nt
Filed under: Mytilus galloprovincialis (Mediterranean mussel)
Lineage: Eukaryota; Metazoa; Mollusca; Bivalvia; Mytilida; Mytilidae
Source: RNAcentral
CUGUAGGUGACAAUGCAAUGUUAUUUUGUACUGUUUUAUGUGCUUUCGUUUUUUGUUUUACGUGUUUAUUUUUAUUCUGUGGUAAGUCAACACUUCGGUGUUGACAUAAACAUCAAUUAUAUGGUCAUUUUUAUAAAUUUACUGUUUGCAAAAGUAAGAAGUAUUCUAAAUACUAAGGAUUUUCUUAUCCCAGGCAUAGAUAACUUAGCCGUAUUUGGCACCACUUUUUAGAAGUUUGGGUCACCAAUGAUCUUCAACUUUGUACUGUUUUGGCUUUCUUUACUAUUUUGAUCUGAGCGUC